RNAcentral lists this ribosomal RNA (468 nucleotides) under uncultured bacterium. RNAcentral describes it as "partial 16S ribosomal RNA". It matches the Rfam family "Bacterial small subunit ribosomal RNA", at positions 28 to 507 of the family's 1533-position model. The record is from RNAcentral.
GACGAACGAUGGCGGCGUGCUUAACACAUGCAAGUCGAACGGAAAGUCCCUGCUUUUGUGGGGUGCUCGAGUGGCGAACGGGUGAGUAACACGUGAUUAACCUGCCCUUGACUUUGGGAUAACUUCAGUAAACUGGGGCUAAUACCGGAUAGGAGCUCCUGCUGCAUGGUGGGGGUUGGAAAGUUUCGGCGGCUGGGGAUGGACUCGCGGCUUAUCAGCUUGUUGGUGGGGUAGUGGCUUACCAAGGCUUUGACGGGUAGCCGGCCUGAGAGGGUGACCGGCCACAUUGGGACUGAGAUACGGCCCAGACUCCUACGGGAGGCAGCAGUGGGGAAUAUUGCACAAUGGGCGGAAGCCUGAUGCAGCAACGCCGCGUGCGGGAUGACGGCCUUCGGGUUGUAAACCGCUUUCGCCUGUGACGAAGCGUGAGUGACGGUAAUGGGUAAAGAAGCACCGGCUAGCUACGUG